RNAcentral lists this ribosomal RNA (427 nucleotides) under uncultured prokaryote. Its description in RNAcentral is "bacterial SSU rRNA". It matches the Rfam family "Bacterial small subunit ribosomal RNA", at positions 355 to 774 of the family's 1533-position model. The record is from RNAcentral.
CUAAGAAUAUUCCGCAAUGGACGGAAGUCUGACGGAGCGACGCCGCGCGGAUGAAGAAGGCCGAAAGGUUGUAAAGUUCUUUUGCUAGGGGAGAAUAAGUGAGGGAGGGAAUGCCCUCAUGAUGACAAGGACUAGCGAAUAAGCCCCGGCCAACUACGUGCCAGCAGCCGCGGUAACACGUAGGGGGCGAGCGUUGUUCGGAAUUACUGGGCGUAAAGGGCAUGUAGGCGGCUUGGUAAGCCUGGCGUGAAAGACUGCAGCUUAACUGUAGGGAUGCGUUGGGAACUGCUUAGCUUGAGUUACGGAGAGGGAGCUGGAAUUCCUGGUGUAGGGGUGAAAUCUGUAUAUAUCAGGAAGAACACCUAUGGCGAAGGCAAGCUUCUGGUCGAUAACUGACGCUGAGGUGCGAAAGGGUGGGCAUGAAACA